CUACGGGGGGCACCAGUGGGGAAUUUUGCGCAAUGGGGGAAACCCUGACGCAGCAAUACCGCGUGAGUGAAGAAGGCCUUUGGGUCGUAAAGCUCUUUUCUUGGGGAAGAUAGUGACGGUACCCAAGGAAUAAGCACCGGCUAACUCCGUGCCAGCAGCCGCGGUAAUACGGAGGGUGCAAGCGUUGUUCGGAUUUACUGGGCGUAAAGGGCACGUAGGCGGCACAGCAAGUUAAGGGUGAAAUCCCGGGGCUCAACUCCGGAACUGCUCUUAAAACUGCUGAGCUAGAGAUAGUCAGAGGCGGGUGGAAUUCCAGGUGUAGAGGUGAAAUUCAUAGAUAUCUGGAGGAACACCGGUGGCGAAGGCGGCCCGCUGGGGCUAUUCUGACGCUAAGGUGCGAAAGCGUGGGGAGCAAACGGGAUUAGAUACCCGUGUAGUC
This 439-nucleotide ribosomal RNA is filed under the name uncultured bacterium. Its description in RNAcentral is "partial 16S ribosomal RNA". It matches the Rfam family "Bacterial small subunit ribosomal RNA", at positions 339 to 795 of the family's 1533-position model. The record is from RNAcentral.